This 532-nucleotide ribosomal RNA is filed under the name Cladosporium sp. RNAcentral's name for it is "eukaryotic LSU rRNA". The stretch from base 180 to 333 matches the Rfam family "5.8S ribosomal RNA". The record is from RNAcentral. Lineage: Eukaryota; Fungi; Ascomycota; Dothideomycetes; Cladosporiales; Cladosporiaceae.
GGUGACCUGCGGAGGGAUCAUUACAAGUGACCCUGGCCUCCGGGCCGGGAUGUUCAUAACCCUUUGUUGUCCGACUCUGUUGCCUCCGGGGCGACCCUGCCUUCGGGCGGGGGCCCCGGGUGGACAUAUCAAACUCUUGCGUAACUUUGCAGUCUGAGUAAAUUUAAUUAAUAAAUUAAAACUUUCAACAACGGAUCUCUUGGUUCUGGCAUCGAUGAAGAACGCAGCGAAAUGCGAUAAGUAAUGUGAAUUGCAGAAUUCAGUGAAUCAUCGAAUCUUUGAACGCACAUUGCGCCCCCUGGUAUUCCGGGGGGCAUGCCUGUUCGAGCGUCAUUUCACCACUCAAGCCUCGCUUGGUAUUGGGCGACGCGGUCCGCCGCGCGCCUCAAAUCGACCGGCUGGGUCUUCUGUCCCCUCAGCGUUGUGGAAACUAUUCGCUAAAGGGUGCCACGGGAGGCUACGCCGUAAAACAACCCCAUUUCUAAGGUUGACCUCGGAUCAGGUAGGGAUACCCGCUGAACUUAAGCAUAUC